This 424-nucleotide ribosomal RNA is filed under the name uncultured bacterium. RNAcentral's name for it is "bacterial SSU rRNA". It matches the Rfam family "Bacterial small subunit ribosomal RNA", at positions 355 to 772 of the family's 1533-position model. The record is from RNAcentral.
UAGGGAAUCUUGCGCAAUGGGCGAAAGCCUGACGCAGCGACGCCGCGUGAGCGAUGAAGGCCCUCGGGUUGUAAAGCUCUGUGGAGAGAGAAGAAUAAGUGCAGGCUAAUACCCUGCGCGACGACGGUAUCUCUUUAGCAAGCACCGGCUAACUCUGUGCCAGCAGCCGCGGUAAGACAGAGGGUGCAAACGUUGUUCGGAAUCACUGGGCGUAAAGCGCGUGUAGGUGGCUUGGCAAGUCGGGCGUGAAAUCCCGGGGCUCAACCCCGGAGGUGCACUCGAUACUGCCUCGCUAGAGUCCUGGAGAGGAAGGUGGAAUACUUGGUGUAGAGGUGAAAUUCGUAGAUAUCAAGUAGAACACCGGUGGCGAAGGCGGCCUUCUGGACAGUGACUGACGCUGAGACGCGAAAGCGUGGGGAGCAAA